GUGGGGGAUCUUGCGCAAUGGGCGAAAGCCUGACGCAGCGACACCGCGUGAGGGACGACGGCCCUCGGGUUGUAAACCUCUUUCGGCAGGGACGAAGCGAUCGUGACGGUACCUGCAGAAGAAGCUCCGGCUAACUACGUGCCAGCAGCCGCGGUAAGACGUAGGGAGCGAGCGUUGUCCGGAUUCAUUGGGCGUAAAGAGCGCGCAGGCGGCUUGGUAAGUCGGAUGUGAAAACCCGGAGCUCAACUCCGGGCGUGCAUCCGAAACUGCCCGGCUAGAGGUAGGUAGGGGAGAUCGGAAUUCCUGGUGUAGCGGUGGAAUGCGCAGAUAUCAGGAGGAACACCGGUGGCGAAGGCGGAUCUCUGGGCCUUACCUGACGCUCAGGCGCGAAAGCUAGGGGAGCAAACAGGAUUAGAAACCCCAGUAGUCC
This 430-nucleotide ribosomal RNA is filed under the name uncultured bacterium. Its description in RNAcentral is "bacterial SSU rRNA". It matches the Rfam family "Bacterial small subunit ribosomal RNA", at positions 354 to 796 of the family's 1533-position model. The record is from RNAcentral.